Molecule: ribosomal RNA, 577 nt
Filed under: Ettchellsia sinica
Lineage: Eukaryota; Metazoa; Arthropoda; Insecta; Hymenoptera; Megalyridae
Description: 12S ribosomal RNA
Source: RNAcentral
AAAAAUGAUUUUUUAUAUAUUUAUUAAUAAUAUGAAUUAAUAUAAAUUAUUUUUAUUUGGUGAAAUAUUAAAUAUAAUUAUAUAUUAAUAAUUAAAUAUGAUUAAAUUUAUGUAGUUAAUAUUUAUAAACUAGGAUUUGGUACCCUAUUAUAGUUAAUUAAAAUUUUAAAGUGAAAAUUAAAUGUGAUAGAUCAUUAAAUUUAAAUAAUUUGGCGGUAUAUUAAAAAUAUUAGGGGAACUUGUAAAUUAAUAUGAUAAUCCACGAUAAGAUAAAUUUAUUAUUUUUUAGUGUACUGUUGUUUUAAAUAUUUUUAAAUGAUUAUGGUAAAUAUUUAUUAUAAAAUAAUUAUUCAAAUCAAAGUGCUGAUAUUAAUAAAUUUUUAUGAGUUACAUUAAAUUUAAAAUUAAUUGGAUUUAAAAUAUUAAGAUUUUAAUGAUAAAGGAUUUAAAAGUAAAUUUAUUUAAUUUAAUAGAUUGAAUUGUAGAGUUUAAUUAUGUACAAACUGCCCGUCACUUUCAUUAAAAGUGGAAUAAGUCGUAACAAGGUAAAAUUACCGGAAGGUGAUUUUAGAAUAAA